This 406-nucleotide ribosomal RNA is filed under the name uncultured bacterium. Its description in RNAcentral is "partial 16S ribosomal RNA". It matches the Rfam family "Bacterial small subunit ribosomal RNA", at positions 30 to 526 of the family's 1533-position model. The record is from RNAcentral.
AUUGAACGCUGGCGGCAGGCCUAACACAUGCAAGUCGAACGAGCGGCGGACGGGUGAGUAAUGUCUGGGAAACUGCCCGAUGGAGGGGGAUAACUACUGGAAACGGUAGCUAAUACCGCAUACUAUAGGAUGAGCCCAUGUGGGAUUAGCUAGUUGGUGGGGUAAAGGCUCACCAAGCCGACGAUCUCUAGCUGGUCUGAGAGGAUGACCAGCCACACUGGGACUGAGACACGGCCCAGACUCCUACGGGAGGCAGCAGUGGGGAAUAUUGCGCAAUGGGGGCAAGCCUGAUGCAGCCAUGCCGCGUGAAUGAAGAAGGCCUUCGGGUUGUAAAGUUCUUUCGGUAGCGAGGCGUUAACUACAGAAGAAGAACCGGCUAACUCCGUGCCAGCAGCCGCGGUAAUUC